UACAGUCAAAGUCGUAACUCCC
Molecule: non-coding RNA, 22 nt
Filed under: Arabidopsis thaliana (thale cress)
Lineage: Eukaryota; Viridiplantae; Streptophyta; Magnoliopsida; Brassicales; Brassicaceae
Source: RNAcentral